Amphimedon queenslandica is the source of this 363-nucleotide long non-coding RNA. RefSeq lists it as uncharacterized. NCBI's taxonomy places the organism in Eukaryota, Metazoa, Porifera, Demospongiae, Haplosclerida, Niphatidae. The record is from RefSeq and is a predicted model, not a curated record. The transcript is spliced from 2 exons.
UGCGUGAGUGAGUGCAUAUUGUAUUGUGGCUUUUUUGUCUCUCCAUUUGCUCUGUUAUUUCUGUAUGAUAUUUGAUUUGUUGAGAAAAGAGUUUGUUUUAUUGAAUGGUGAAUAUAACAUAUUUGACAGCCAGCAGAGAAGCGAGCUGCCUAGAGGAGGACUGAAUCCAGACUAUUGCUGACAUCGAACCAGAAGGGAUCAGCGGUGUUCCCUACAGAGAAGACGCCGCGACAAUAUCCCAGGCACUGUCUCCAGCUAAAAAAACUUGUUGAAGAAAAUGAAAGUAAAAGCUGUUGUCAAGACAAUUUAUUGAGAAAUUAGAAGAGUCUGUCACUGUGCCAAGAAAUUAACUUAAGAUUUAAA